Unclassified non-coding RNA from Carlito syrichta (Philippine tarsier), 96 nucleotides. It matches the Rfam family "Y RNA". Rfam says of the family: Y RNAs are components of the Ro ribonucleoprotein particle (Ro RNP), in association with Ro60 and La proteins. The Y RNAs and Ro60 and La proteins are well conserved, but the function of the Ro RNP is not known. Lineage: Eukaryota; Metazoa; Chordata; Mammalia; Primates; Tarsiidae. The record is from Ensembl.
GGUUGGUCCAAUGGUAGUGGGUUAUCAGAACUUACUAACAUUAGUGUCACUAAAGUUGGUAUUCAAUUCCCCAUUGUAAAAUUUGACUGGCUUAAA